CGUAUGUCACGCAACCAAACAACUGUCAUGGAAACCGUCCCCAGAAUGCCUUUCUAACUUGCACGAAGAGCAAGCAAAGAGCGCGCUCCUUGAAGCAAGUUCGUUCAUUGUUUACCAAUGCCUCUACAUGAGAAGGUCUUAUACUUCAAUCUAGACCAUUCUCCUGUACGUAACUCUGACAAAUCUUCCAAAUAUCAAAUUCAUUUCAAACCGUAUUUUGGGGACAGAUCAAUGCACAUGGCGAAGCCGAGUAUGUUGAGGGUCGACAGUUUGGAGUAUCUUAAAUCGGAUAUGACAGAGAACAGCACCGCUAAAAUGGUCCGAAAACAAUCCCGGAUCAAGACUUUAGUCAUGGGUAAUAUAAAAGAAGAGCCUCUCCUGAUCAAAGGUCGCCAGGAUCUUGUCAUCGGUAUCCAUGAACUUGGCAGACAGCUUGAAUGGUUGCGUAGCAACAAGAGAGCGCGAAAUGAAGCUCGAAAACUUUACAGACUACGCACCUUUUCCUCCAAAAUGGACACUGCAGAAAACUUCUGCCUCAGAUCAGCAGUGAUGCUUGUACUACUCUUUGCCAUUAUUUAUGUGAUCAGAGCCAUAUCUAUAUUCCUUCUUCCCGAACUGUUUCUCGAAUGUUCUGCCUCUCAUCCGAGUAUGCAUUUAUCGAAUUACAGUGCCUGGCCUUCGAGCAGUGCUGAUGCGUCUAUAUCUGGGUUACGUCUUCGAUGGAUGCUGUUUAGAGGUCGCCAUCCAUGUGUGCCUAUUUACAUGGAGUGUUUUACAUUACAUGAUUCGAUAACAUUACCAUACCAGGGUCAGUACUGAUUUUGAUUGAAAUGUCUCGAUGGAAACGUUUGAAUAUUUUACCGCAAUCCAGACUCUUUCCUUGAUUGUCGAUUUCUAUCCAUAUCUAUAUAUUGAUAUUUGACUGAAAUGAUCGCUGGAUGCAUGUUGUCGAAAUUGAUGAUUAAACUGAACACUCUCACCAAAAUCAAUACGGCGUCAACUAAUAAGUGUGCUAUCACUUUACACUUUCCAUUGUUCAACCAUGAGAAGGGAGGAGUCUUUUGGAAGAUGCCGUUUUUAAUAAUGCAGUAUACAGACCGAGCACCAGAAGCGCUCUUCGAAGUUAAUGUUUUCAACUGAUCUAUAUUUGGCUAUAAUAUGCCUAUAUCAUGCUCUUUGCUUGAUAUUUUUGUAUAAGUAGUUUAAUAUGGAUGAUUAUAUGUGCUGAUUCAGUUAUUUCCCCUCUCUCCGUUUGUCAUCUCCCUCACCUCCCCUCCCCCUCUUCCUCUCCCUCUCUUUGCCUCUCAUAUUCCUUCUUACUCUUUCUCAGUUUCUCCCACACACCUCUCUCCUUUUUCUAUCUAUUUUUAUACGCGAAGAUGCUUUCAAUUUUAAAACUCAUUUUAGAAUUUUAUACUUUAAAAAGAAAUUGAGUGAGCUCAUUCAAAAAGAAUUUUACAGCAAGAAAUCAAUAUCUUUUAAAUCUUUUUCAACUGAAUUAGCAAACUGAUUUUUGACUGAAAUGGAAAAGUGCCUUAUUGUCUUAAGCACUUUUAAAAAUAAUUUUCUGACAAUUUUAAUACAAGUAUGAAAGACGGGUCAAACAUUUGGGAUACAUAAAAACUUAAUAAGUGAAAUUAGAAUGUGAAACCUUUGUGAAACUCGACUGAAUUCUUGAUUUGAAGAAUUUAUUGAAAUGACAAUUAAAUAUAUAUAUGGGUAACUCUUUGUAAUUUAUUCAAAAUAAUGUAGGUAUGAAAAACGGGUCUAACAUUUAGCAUAUACAUGCACCUAAUUUAUUAUCAGUGUGCAAUUUGAAUCAUUAUGUAUCGGGCUGUGGGGGGGGGGGGGUGGCAUUCGAGACCGUGUUCAUCCCAUUAUACCUUCUUAACGAACACAGGAGACUUUUCUGGGUGAUUUUAAAGGUUUUUGGCUUUACUUCGUAUUACAUGUGUAUUUAUUUGUGUCAAGUAAUAAUAAUGUUGAAUUUAUAUUACGACAAUAAGUUAUCAAUGAUUGCCUUUUGAUGAUUUAUUGCAUUGCGUUUGUACUUUAUUUUUCUGUGUCAACAUUGACUUACUAUUUAUUAAUUCUAAAUUAUUUAUAUAGUAGACCACUGUUACGCAGAUAUAAUUAUUACAAUGCAUCGAAUGUCUUCGUGAUAAUGCUCAAAUGCAAAUUAUUACACUAAAAUAAUUGCCAGAUAAAGUGUUGCCAAUUUUUGCUUUAAAAUUAAACACCAUGUUUCUUGGAUAAAAAUUUUCCAAAUAUUCGGUAGCAUUUUAUAAAACGAACAUGCAUGUCUCAUUUCAACCCAUGACUGUUUGAUAUAUUAGUAUGUUUAGAGUCAGAAUUGCAUUAACUCUAGGAUAUAUGAAUUAACGCCCUUCUGGCUCCAAACAGAAGAAAUUCCCUUUUUUUAGAGUGUAUAAUUAUAUAAUGCAAUAUAAAAAUCGCCAUAUUUUCUGCAAUAAAACUCAAAAUAUCAGUAAA
Molecule: long non-coding RNA, 2493 nt
Filed under: Strongylocentrotus purpuratus (purple sea urchin)
Lineage: Eukaryota; Metazoa; Echinodermata; Echinoidea; Camarodonta; Strongylocentrotidae
Description: uncharacterized LOC115929449
Source: RNAcentral